This 731-nucleotide ribosomal RNA is filed under the name Bacillus amyloliquefaciens. Its description in RNAcentral is "bacterial SSU rRNA". It matches the Rfam family "Bacterial small subunit ribosomal RNA", at positions 39 to 754 of the family's 1533-position model. The record is from RNAcentral. Lineage: Bacteria; Bacillati; Bacillota; Bacilli; Caryophanales; Bacillaceae.
GCGGGUGCUAAUACAUGCAAGUCGAGCGGACAGAUGGGAGCUUGCUCCCUGAUGUUAGCGGCGGACGGGUGAGUAACACGUGGGUAACCUGCCUGUAAGACUGGGAUAACUCCGGGAAACCGGGGCUAAUACCGGAUGCUUGUUUGAACCGCAUGGUUCAGACAUAAAAGGUGGCUUCGGCUACCACUUACAGAUGGACCCGCGGCGCAUUAGCUAGUUGGUGAGGUAACGGCUCACCAAGGCGACGAUGCGUAGCCGACCUGAGAGGGUGAUCGGCCACACUGGGACUGAGACACGGCCCAGACUCCUACGGGAGGCAGCAGUAGGGAAUCUUCCGCAAUGGACGAAAGUCUGACGGAGCAACGCCGCGUGAGUGAUGAAGGUUUUCGGAUCGUAAAGCUCUGUUGUUAGGGAAGAACAAGUGCCGUUCAAAUAGGGCGGCACCUUGACGGUACCUAACCAGAAAGCCACGGCUAACUACGUGCCAGCAGCCGCGGUAAUACGUAGGUGGCAAGCGUUGUCCGGAAUUAUUGGGCGUAAAGGGCUCGCAGGCGGUUUCUUAAGUCUGAUGUGAAAGCCCCCGGCUCAACCGGGGAGGGUCAUUGGAAACUGGGGAACUUGAGUGCAGAAGAGGAGAGUGGAAUUCCACGUGUAGCGGUGAAAUGCGUAGAGAUGUGGAGGAACACCAGUGGCGAAGGCGACUCUCUGGUCUGUAACUGACGCUGAGGAGC